Non-coding RNA from Drosophila melanogaster (fruit fly), 436 nucleotides. The record is from Ensembl. NCBI's taxonomy places the organism in Eukaryota, Metazoa, Arthropoda, Insecta, Diptera, Drosophilidae.
CGACGGCCAUAAAAGUCAGACCCGGCAAUCCCCGGGAGCAACGGCGAGGUGCACCACGCAGUCGGUCAAUCAUGCUGGCCCAUGCCAACCCCGUUUCCCAGUCGCUCAUCUGCAGAGAGAGAAAAAAGCAACAAUUUAUUGUGUAAAUAAGGUCAAUUCCAUUGUGCCACGUAUAGAAAAAAUAAGUAAUAAAAGCCUUAUUGUUAACUUUAAAAGGAUUUCCAUCGAGUAAUGGAUUGCAAAUAAGUUUAUCAAUCUUUUCAUUUCAGUUAUUUUAAGAUAUUUUUUUUUCAGUGCCUGCCCGGGGCUCCUUUGCGAUGCGAUCUCCUCGCCGAGUGCUGCUCCAACUUCAUCCGCAUCCCAGUGGCCAAUCUGUGGGCCUUUCAAUCAUUUCGUACGAUUUUCAAAUUUGUAAUUUACGAGUGUGUCUGCGGCC